UUGCUGUAGGGAUGGAACGAAAUCCUUAAAUUGAAAAUAAAAAGUCAUCCGUCACUUUGUCAGCAGAUUCUUUUUAUUCAUUUUUUUGCUGAUCAUACAAGAUGACAUAUUC
Spinacia oleracea (spinach) is the source of this 112-nucleotide non-coding RNA. Lineage: Eukaryota; Viridiplantae; Streptophyta; Magnoliopsida; Caryophyllales; Amaranthaceae. The record is from Rfam.